RNAcentral lists this unclassified non-coding RNA (403 nucleotides) under soil metagenome. RNAcentral describes it as "partial contains 5.8S ribosomal RNA, internal transcribed spacer 2, and large subunit ribosomal RNA". The stretch from base 3 to 121 matches the Rfam family "5.8S ribosomal RNA", at positions 37 to 154 of the family's 154-position model. The record is from RNAcentral.
GGUGAAGAACGUAGCGAAAUGCGAUAAGUAAUGUGAAUUGCAGAAUUCAGUGAAUCAUCGAAUCUUUGAACGCACCUUGCGCCCUUUGGCUAUUCCGAAGGGCAUGCCUGUUUGAGUAUCAUGAACACCUCAACUCUCAUGGCUUGCCAUGAUGAGCUUGGACUUUUGGGGGUCUUGCUGGCCUGUGGUCAGCUCCUCUCAAAUGAAUUAGCCUGCCAGUGUUUGGUGGCAUCACAGGUGUGAUAACUAUCUACGCUUGUGGUUUUCCACCAGGUAACCUUCAGUGAUGAAGGUUCGCUGGGGCUCAUAAACGUCUCUCCUCGGUGAGGACAGCUCUUUGAACGUUUGAUCUCAAAUCAGGUAGGACUACCCGCUGAACUUAAGCAUAUCAAUAAGCGGAGGA